This 467-nucleotide ribosomal RNA is filed under the name uncultured bacterium. RNAcentral's name for it is "partial 16S ribosomal RNA". It matches the Rfam family "Bacterial small subunit ribosomal RNA", at positions 28 to 507 of the family's 1533-position model. The record is from RNAcentral.
GACGAACGCUGGCGGCGUGCUUAACACAUGCAAGUCGAACGGAAAGGCCCUGCUUUUGUGGGGUGCUCGAGUGGCGAACGGGUGAGUAACACGUGAGUAACCUGCCCUUGACUUUGGGAUAACUUCAGGAAACUGGGGCUAAUACCGGAUAGGAGCUCCUGCUGCAUGGUGGGGGUUGGAAAGUUUCGGCGGUUGGGGAUGGACUCGCGGCUUAUCAGCUUGUUGGUGGGGUAGUGGCUUACCAAGGCUUUGACGGGUAGCCGGCCUGAGAGGGUGACCGGCCACAUUGGGACUGAGAUACGGCCCAGACUCCUACGGGAGGCAGCAGUGGGGAAUAUUGCACAAUGGGCGGAAGCCUGAUGCAGCAACGCCGCGUGCGGGAUGACGGCCUCGGGUUGUAAACCGCUUUCGCCUGUGACGAAGCGUGAGUGGCGGUAAUGGGUAAAGAAGCACCGGCUAACUACGUG